UAAGUAGUAGUUUAAAAAAAACAUAUAAUUUGCAAAAUUAUAAUUAUUAGUUCUAUUUAUUUAU
This 64-nucleotide transfer RNA is filed under the name Virpazaria ripkeni. Its description in RNAcentral is "tRNA-Cys". The record is from RNAcentral. Lineage: Eukaryota; Metazoa; Mollusca; Gastropoda; Stylommatophora; Spelaeodiscidae.